AGGGUUUGAUCCUGGCUCAGGACGAACGCUGGCGGCGUGCCUAACACAUGCAAGUCGAGCGAGAAUCUUUGGUUUGAAUCCUUCGGGAGGAUAACUGAAGAGGAAAGCGGCGGACGGGUGAGUAACGCGUGAGUAACCUGCCUUUAGGAGGGGGACAACAUUUCGAAAGGAAUGCUAAUACCGCAUAAUAUUAUCGUACCGCAUGGUAUGAUAAUCAAAGCGCUUAGCGCCUAAAGAUGGACUCGCGUCUGAUUAGCUAGUUGGUGGGGUAAAGGCCUACCAAGGCGACGAUCAGUAGCCGAACUGAGAGGUUGAUCGGCCACAUUGGGACUGAGACACGGCCCAG
Molecule: ribosomal RNA, 346 nt
Filed under: uncultured bacterium
Lineage: Bacteria
Description: bacterial SSU rRNA
Rfam family: Bacterial small subunit ribosomal RNA
Source: RNAcentral